RNAcentral lists this ribosomal RNA (954 nucleotides) under Bostrychia moritziana. Its description in RNAcentral is "eukaryotic LSU rRNA". It matches the Rfam family "Eukaryotic large subunit ribosomal RNA", at positions 1293 to 2160 of the family's 3401-position model. The record is from RNAcentral. Lineage: Eukaryota; Rhodophyta; Florideophyceae; Ceramiales; Rhodomelaceae.
CCUGCCGAAUGAAUUAGCCCUGAAAAUGGAUGGCGCUGAAGCGUGUAGCCGAUACUAUGCCGUCUGUGCAAUAUAUGCUUUCAGAUGAGUAGGAGGAACGUAGCGGUUGUAUAGAAGCGUAUGCGCGAGCAUGCGUGGAACGGCCGCUAGUGCAGAUCUUGGUGGUAGUAGCAAAUAUUCAAAUGAAAACCUUGAAGGGCGAAGCGGGGAAGGGUUCCACGCGAACAUUGAUUGAGUGUGGGUGAGUCGUCCCUAAGCCGAGUGGCCGAUCCUGAACACCGGCGAAAGGGAAGCAGGUUGAUAUUCCUGCACACGGAUGUGGAAGCGGUGACGCUAGACUGUGGCGGUGAAGCCGUCGGUUGCACUGGGCAGAGAUUUCUUUUCUGUUUGACGAAGUCUGAUGUACUCUAUGGAAUCCGCUUGUCGGGAGAAAUAGGUAUGUCACGGCAAAGCGCCGGGAUUUUUCUGGCGUCCAGCUCGCGACUGGUGGACCUUGAAAAGCUGUCUGCAGGCCGUGAAUUAUAUUUAUUUAUAAUUUGCGGUGAGAAAAAACCACGCCGUAACGUACCGAUAACCGCAUCAGGUCCCCAAGGUGAACAGCCUCUGCUCGAUAUGAUUAAUGUAGGUAAGGGAAGUCGGCAAAUUAGACCCGUAACUUUGGGAAAAGGGUUGGCUCUAGUGCUGCGUAGGAGUGGUUUCUGGGGUGUGGCGAAGGGCGGUGGGGAGAGAAGGUGUUUUAUUUUCCCUUUGUGUUAUUUUGCCUGGGUGGUGUGAAAGCUGGCCUCUUUCGGGGGGUUUGGUGGAAGUGCCUCACGGGUGGAUGCGCACAGGGGGGGAUGGGGCGCCCUUUUUUCCCGCUUUCCUUUUGUUGCUCCUGGAGACGCCUACAGCAUGCAGCAAACUAGAACUGCAACGGACAAAGGGAAUCCGACUGUUUAAUUAAAACAAAGCAUU